CGGCCCCUGUCAUGUGGAGGGGGAGGCAAGUUGGCGCCCCUGCCUGCCUCACGUGACGGGGCACUCCCACCCCCUCCAACGUGCCACACAUGCGCAGAACACCCGCAAGAGACACGGACGCAGAAGCUGUCAGACGUGCUGUUAAUCUGGUGGUAAUAUUGGUCAUGCAGAAGACCAGAAAGAAGAGUAUAUCAUGGAUACUUUCUGCUGAACGAAGUACUGAUAGUCUGACAAAAUGUUGGGCAAAUACCUUUUAUUUCUGAAUAUGUGUUGACUGCUUAGAGCCCUUUGAACUUUUCAGAAAAGGGGAGUGUAAAUAUCUAAAUAAAUAAAUAAAUAACUACUGCAUGUUG
This is a long non-coding RNA of Hemicordylus capensis (graceful crag lizard), 353 nucleotides long. RefSeq lists it as uncharacterized. NCBI's taxonomy places the organism in Eukaryota, Metazoa, Chordata, Lepidosauria, Squamata, Cordylidae. The record is from RefSeq and is a predicted model, not a curated record. The transcript is spliced from 3 exons.